RNAcentral lists this long non-coding RNA (700 nucleotides) under Anser cygnoides (Swan goose). Its description in RNAcentral is "lncRNA (ENSACDG00005002116.1)". Lineage: Eukaryota; Metazoa; Chordata; Aves; Anseriformes; Anatidae. The record is from RNAcentral.
GGGAGGGUUUGGGGCUCAAGGGGGAUGUUUUGGGGUAGUGAGAGGUUUUGUGGUGCUGAAUUGAGGGUUUGAGGCUCCAGGAGGAGGUUUUGGGGCAUCAUGAGGAGAGUUUGGGGUGCCAGGAGGAGGGUUUGGGAUGCCAGGAGCAGGUUUGGGACAUCAGGUGGGGGCCCAGCCCUGUGAGGAGGCCUGAGGUGAGGGGCAGGCCUGUGUGGAAGGGGACGAGAUGGGGCCCAGGGCUGGAGAUGAGGAGGAAGAGGAGGAAGAGAGGGCUGAGGGGGCCGGGAGACGGGGUGGUGGGGAUGGGGCCUGGCGGUGGCAGGUCUGGGUGCAGAGUGGGGCCAGGAGGGCAGCUCAGGCCUGGGUGAGGCCGUGCUGGGAUUGGGAUGAGGGCAGGAGCACAGGACAAAGGGGGCAAGGAGGCAGGGGGAUGUCAGCCCCAGAAGGUUCUGUCAGAAUGGAGCAAGCGACAGCCGCACAGGCUGCUUGCCUGGUCUGGAGGUGGUACGGGACCGGCACGUGGGUCUCCAUCAGCACCUCUGUUCCUGCGGUCACCUCGUGCCCGAGGAUCUCGGCUCUUUCUGCAAGGGGAACGCUUUCGGCAUCAAAGGUGGCAGUUCCUGGAGCAAAUAAGACCACUGGUUAUGAUGGAGCAGAGCUGAGUAAUACAGAACUUGCUUUUUCCUGGGAUAAUCCAUAG